GGGCGGUUAGCUCAGCUGGUAGAGCAUCGGCCUUACAAGCCGAGGGUCGCAGGUUCGAGCCCUGCACCGCCCACCA
RNAcentral lists this transfer RNA (76 nucleotides) under Desulfovibrio sp. OttesenSCG-928-C14. RNAcentral's name for it is "tRNA-Val". It matches the Rfam family "tRNA". From Rfam's summary of the family: Transfer RNA (tRNA) molecules are approximately 80 nucleotides in length. Their secondary structure includes four short double-helical elements and three loops (D, anti-codon, and T loops). The record is from RNAcentral. Lineage: Bacteria; Pseudomonadati; Thermodesulfobacteriota; Desulfovibrionia; Desulfovibrionales; Desulfovibrionaceae.